UACGUAGGGUGCGAGCGUUGUCCGGAAUUAUUGGGCGUAAAGAGCUCGUAGGCGGUGUGUCACGUCGGCCGUGAAAACCUGCAGCUUAACUGUGGGCGUGCGGUCGAUACGGGCAUCACUGGAGUUCGGCAGGGGAGACUGGAAUUCCUGGUGUAGCGGUGAAAUGCGCAGAUAUCAGGAGGAACACCGGUGGCGAAGGCGGGUCUCUGGGCCGAUACUGCCGCUGAGGAGCGAAAGCGUGGGGAGCAAACAGG
This 254-nucleotide ribosomal RNA is filed under the name uncultured bacterium. Its description in RNAcentral is "partial 16S ribosomal RNA". It matches the Rfam family "Bacterial small subunit ribosomal RNA", at positions 524 to 776 of the family's 1533-position model. The record is from RNAcentral.